RNAcentral lists this ribosomal RNA (482 nucleotides) under uncultured bacterium. RNAcentral's name for it is "partial 16S ribosomal RNA". It matches the Rfam family "Bacterial small subunit ribosomal RNA", at positions 30 to 507 of the family's 1533-position model. The record is from RNAcentral.
AUUGAACGCUGGCGGCAUGCCUUACACAUGCAAGUCGAACGGUAACGGGCCUUCGGGUGCCGACGAGUGGCGAACGGGUGAGUAAUACACCGGAACGUGCCCGAUCGCGGGGGAUAACGAGUCGAAAGCUUUGCUAAUACCGCAUACGAUAUACGGUAGAAAGCAGGGGACCGCAAGGCCUUGCGCGGACGGAGCGUCCGAUGGCUGAUUAGGAAGUUGGUGGGAUAAAAGCUUACCAAGCGGACGAUCUGCAGCUGGUCUGAGAGGAUGAGCAGCCACACUGGGACUGAGACACGGCCGAGACUCCUACGGGAGGCAGCAGUCGGGAAUCUUAGACAAUGGGCGAAAGCCUGAUCCAGCCCUGCCGCGUGAAGGAUGAAGGCCUUCGGGUUGUAAACUGCUUUUGUCCGGAACGAAAAGCCUUCUUUUAAUACAGGAUGGUCAUGACGGUACCGUAAGAAUAAGCACCGGCUAACUACGUG